This 254-nucleotide ribosomal RNA is filed under the name uncultured bacterium. Its description in RNAcentral is "partial 16S ribosomal RNA". It matches the Rfam family "Bacterial small subunit ribosomal RNA", at positions 526 to 779 of the family's 1533-position model. The record is from RNAcentral.
CGUAGGGCGAAGCGUUGUCCGGAAUUAUUGGGCGUAAAGCGCGCGCAGGCGGCUUUUAAGUUCCGGUGUCACAGCCCAAGGCUCAACCUUGGGUCGCACUGGAAACUGGAGAGCUUGAGUACAGAAGAGGAAAGUGGAAUUCCACGUGUAGCGGUGAAAUGCGUAGAGAUGUGGAGGAACACCAGUGGCGAAGGCGACUUUUCUGGGGCUGUAACUGACGCUGAGGCGCGAAAAGCGUGGGAGCAAACAGGAUU